Molecule: ribosomal RNA, 537 nt
Filed under: uncultured bacterium
Lineage: Bacteria
Description: bacterial SSU rRNA
Rfam family: Bacterial small subunit ribosomal RNA
Source: RNAcentral
CAAAGAUACCCGGGUAGUCCACGCCCUAAACGAUGCGAACUGGAUGUUGGGUACAUUACGGUACUCAGUGUCGAAGCUAACGCGUUAAGUUCGCCGCCUGGGGAGUACGGUCGCAAGACUGAAACUCAAAGGAAUUGACGGGGGCCCGCACAAGCGGUGGAGUAUGUGGUUUAAUUCGAUGCAACGCGAAGAACCUUACCUGGCCUUGACAUCUGUCGAAUCCUGCAGAGAUGCGGGAGUGCCGCAAGGAACGACAAGACAGGUGCUGCAUGGCUGUCGUCAGCUCGUGUCGUGAGAUGUUGGGUUAAGUCCCGCAACGAGCGCAACCCUUGUCCUUAGUUGCCAGCACGUAAUGGUGGGAACUCUAAGGAGACUGCCGGUGACAAACCGGAGGAAGGUGGGGAUGACGUCAAGUCCUCAUGGCCCUUACGGCCAGGGCUACACACGUGCUACAAUGGUCGGUACAGAGGGUUGCGAAGCCGCGAGGUGGAGCCAAUCCCAGAAAGCCGAUCCCAGUCCGGAUUGGAGUCUGCAACC